AACGAACGCUGGCGGCAUGCCUAACACAUGCAAGUCGAACGAAGGCUUCGGCCUUUGUGGCGCCCGGGUGCGUAACGCGUGGGAAUCUGCCCUUUGGUUCGGAAUAACAGCUGGAAACGGCUGCUAAUACCGGAUGGUUACGAAAGUCCAAAGAUUUAUCGCCAGAGGAUGAGCCCGCGUUGGAUUAGGUAGUUGGUGGGGUAAAGGCCUACCAAGCCGACGAUCCAUAGCUGGUCUGAGAGGAUGAUCAGCCACACUGGGACUGAGACACGGCCCAGACUCCUACGGGAGGCAGCAGUGGGGAAUAUUGGACAAUGGGCGCAAGCCUGAUCCAGCAAUGCCGCGUGAGUGAUGAAGGCCCUAGGGUUGUAAAGCUCUUUUACCCGGGAAGAUAAUGACUGUACCGGGAGAAUAAGCCCCGGCUAACUCCGUG
This 433-nucleotide ribosomal RNA is filed under the name uncultured bacterium. Its description in RNAcentral is "partial 16S ribosomal RNA". It matches the Rfam family "Bacterial small subunit ribosomal RNA", at positions 29 to 507 of the family's 1533-position model. The record is from RNAcentral.